UGGACAGAUUACUGUAUUCGACUGUAUUCACGGCGUGAAACAGGGGAUUACACUGUUUUAAAACGGAAAGUGUAUCAAUUAACAUAAAAGACUACU
Molecule: microRNA precursor, 96 nt
Filed under: Nicotiana sylvestris (wood tobacco)
Lineage: Eukaryota; Viridiplantae; Streptophyta; Magnoliopsida; Solanales; Solanaceae
Description: MIR6152 microRNA precursor family
Rfam family: MIR6152 microRNA precursor family
Source: Rfam by way of RNAcentral